This 361-nucleotide ribosomal RNA is filed under the name uncultured soil bacterium. RNAcentral's name for it is "bacterial SSU rRNA". It matches the Rfam family "Bacterial small subunit ribosomal RNA", at positions 26 to 384 of the family's 1533-position model. The record is from RNAcentral.
AGAUUGAACGCUGGCGGCAUGCCUUACACAUGCAAGUCGAACGGCAGCACGGGAGCAAUCCUGGUGGCGAGUGGCGAACGGGUGAGUAAUAUAUCGGAACGUGCCCAGUCGUGGGGGAUAACGCAGCGAAAGCUGUGCUAAUACCGCAUACGAUCUAUGGAUGGAAAGCGGGGGAUCGCAAGACCUCGCGCGAUUGGAGCGGCCGAUAUCAGAUUAGCUAGUUGGUAGGGUAAAGCCUACGAAGGCGACGAUCUGUACGCUGGUCUGAGGAGGACGACCAGCCACACGUGGAACUGAGACACGGUCCAGACGUCCUACGGGAGCAGCAGGUGGGUAAUUUUGGACAAGUGGCGCGAAGCCU